Molecule: long non-coding RNA, 1478 nt
Organism: Salvia miltiorrhiza (redroot sage)
Lineage: Eukaryota; Viridiplantae; Streptophyta; Magnoliopsida; Lamiales; Lamiaceae
Exons: 2
Source: RefSeq, a predicted model, not a curated record
UGUAUGCAAUAUUCAUUGGGGCAGUUGAGGUUAUUCUGGGUUGGGGUUCAGCGGUGGGCAAAUUUGUUAAUAGCUGCAUACCUUAAAUGUAAAAUGUGUGAGGUGACAUGUCAAGAAGCUCACCAAAGUCAAUUUAUAGCCCUUGUUGAGGCAAAGGGAGAAGAUUGUUUUAUCUUAGCCCCGAUGACUACGAGUCGACGACAGUGUACCGGCAAUGGGUAACAUACACCGAUGGGUUAAAUGUCAGCUGGAAGCCUUCUUUAGGCAAGGGGGGCAGCCUAACCCUCGCGUGAGAGGCGAAGCUCGUGGUCAAGCUUCCAUUCAUGUUGAGCCACGACGUCGCAAUUGGACGAGGCGAGAUUCUGGCAAGCGCCAAAGACCACCACCAUCAUCCUCAUCAAGCAGUAGUCGUCUCGAGCACAGAACGGUGGUCGUGAUCACCCCGUAGAUUUCAAUUGUAGGCCUCACAAAGGCAGUAGAGAUUCGAGACAUAAGCACCAAAUAAACAGUAGUCAUGAUUAGUGAGCACGGCUGCAGGGUAUGAUUCAUGAGAGUGAGGCCAAAAUUGAGAGAAAUAUUGAGGAAAAGUUGUUUCUGAAGAUCAAGCGUUGGUUCGAUGAGAAGUGGAAUAUAUCCGCACAAGAAUUGAGAGAAAUAUUGAGAAAAAGUUGUUUCUGAAGAUCAAGCGUUGGUUCGAGAAGAAGAUAGAUUAGAUUAGGGGAUGCGUAUAUGCUUACACCUCAUCCACGCUCUCACUCGGACAGGAGACGCGAAGAGACACAAACUCAUAGCUCUUCGUCGACCACUCCAUCUUCAGCGGCCGAACAGGUGCAGACCCUAUAGGAUCAUCCGAGUUAUGAGCAAAACGGACCCGCCUCAGUGGCAGUCAGGAAAUUGCCAAACAUGUAGAAUGGCUUAUCGUAACUUUAGCUAUUGUCGUUUUCUUUGUUUUAAUCCGAAAACGACAAUGGCAUUGGCAUACAGCUCAACACCAGCUUAAAUAAUUGAAGCCAUUUUCGGCCUUAACUUUCAAUACAACUGUCCAAGUACACACAGAUCUCGAACCUCCUUCUCAUUUAUUAUUCUUCUUCUUCUUCUCUUUCCUUUUAUGUCGACGAAAACAAGGAAACAUUUUUCUGAUUUUUUUGGAUGUAGCCGUGAAUGGUUGGUACAGGAUGAUGGUCGUUCAAGGAAUGGAUUUGAGCUUGCUCUCGAUUUCUAGAUUGUAAUCGAAAUCUAAUAGGGAACCUCGAGAUAAGGGUGGGUGUUUUGGAAUUUAUUUUUACAUGAUCGAUCAUAUAUUAGUAUAUCUUUUCUUAUUUGUAACUUAAUUAUGCGGAUAAUCAAUCUGUACAUUAUGGCAUUGAGGCAUAGGCUAAUCGGUAGUGCAAACUUAUGUAAUGGUGUUACUGGAGAGAAAGCCAUCAUAUUGGACUACGAUUUUUUCGUAAGUAUAAAAAAUAUAGAUUUUUUUGUAC